UUACCUCCUACAGCUUUAUGGAUUGGUAUUAGGCACAACCCUACCUGCCCACAACACCUAGUUCCACCACACCCCCAAGGGUAAUCAGCAGUGAUAAAUAUUGUGCAUAAGCGACAGCUUGACCCAGAGAUAGAGAAGAGGGCCGGCCAAUACUGUGCCAGCCGCCGCGGCUACACAAUAGGCCCAAGUAGAUGGUCAUUCGGCGUUAAGCGUGAUUAAAGGAAUUCCUACAUUAGGGUUAAAUUAAUACUUAGUUGUGAUAAGCUUGUUAUUGAGAAAACCAUAAACGAAAGUUACCCUAAUUAUACCUUGAAUACACGACAGCUGAGACACAAACUGGGAUUAGAUACCCCACUAUGCUCAGCCGUAAAAAAUCUACUAACACCAUACAGCGCCAGGGUAUUACGAGCUAUGCUUAAAACCCAAAGGACUUGACGGUGUCCUACCCACCUAGAGGAGCCUGUUCUAUAAUUGAUAAUCCCCGUUCUACCUUACCAUUCCUAGCUUAUCAGUCUGUAUACCUCCGUCGAAAGCCUACCGUGAGAACGUUUGCAGUAGGCUAAAUGGCCCAACCGCCAACACGUCAGGUCAAGGUGCAACUUAAGGAAUGGGAAGUAAUGGGCUACAAUUUCUAAAUUAGAAUACACGAAAGAAUAUGUGAAAUCAUAAUCUAAAGGCGGAUUUAGUAGUAAAAAGAAAGUAGAGUGUUCUUUUUAAUUUGGCAAUAGGACGUGUACACACCGCCCGUCACCCUCUUCAAUAAACCGCUAGCCAUAGUUUCUAACCAAUUAUUGCCACCCCCCCGAGAAGAGGUAAGUCGUAACACGGUAGGAGUACUGGAAAGUGCCCCUGGAAAACAU
Molecule: non-coding RNA, 860 nt
Filed under: Wijayarana javana (Java torrent frog)
Lineage: Eukaryota; Metazoa; Chordata; Amphibia; Anura; Ranidae
Description: partial 12S ribosomal RNA
Rfam family: Bacterial small subunit ribosomal RNA
Source: RNAcentral